Cucurbita maxima (winter squash) is the source of this 959-nucleotide long non-coding RNA. RefSeq lists it as uncharacterized. Lineage: Eukaryota; Viridiplantae; Streptophyta; Magnoliopsida; Cucurbitales; Cucurbitaceae. The transcript is spliced from 4 exons. The record is from RefSeq and is a predicted model, not a curated record.
AAGGUACGUGUUGGCUCAAACACUAGUCUUUUGUAAAGAACAAGAUUAAGGAGCCUUGUCAAUCAGAUUUUCUCAUCUUGAAACCUUGGAUUAUAAUUGAUGAUUGAAAGUGUGCGUUUGAGCUGAAGCACGCAAUUGUUGUUUGCUUUUGAAUCUACUCGAUCAACUCGAUUUUAGUUUGAUUGUUUUGCGUGUUAUACCACGAUGAAUGUUUGACGUUUGCAUUAUUUUGUGAUGAUUUCUAUUUAGCUUUUGUAAAGAACAAUAUUGUCAUCUGACUUUGAGCGAAAUGAAACAGAAUUGGCAGGCGUUCUAUGGGUUUUACCUGAUUCAUAUCUCGAAUUCCAAACACAGGUGAUCGGUUUAUUGUUGGAAAGGUUAUCGCGAGAGACAACAAAGUGGUAGAAAUAGGCCUCGUCCACAGUACGAUAGAUGUCGAGAAACUGUGCAUAUUGAACGGAGGCAACCAAUAUUGAGGAUUAUUGGGAGAGAUGUUCCACAUUGGCUAAUUAAGGGAAAUAUCGUAUACUUCAGUUCAUGUAUACAAAGCUUGGGUCAAGACCAUAGAAACCGGAAUAGUCAAAAUUCAGAUCGAAAUGGAGUCGGAGAUAUCUUAGGAAAUCUAGGCGAGUUUAAUUGAAGCAAUCAGGGAUUGAUGGAUGCUUUGAGUAUCUAUUGACACCUUAAUCCAUGAAGUCUAGGCAGUCAGUUCAAGGAUGAUUAUGUCAUGAACUCAUCAACUUGCCACUGCCACAAUUCUCUUCCUUCAACGUUUGGAUAGAACCUUACGUGUGUGUGUAUAUAUAUAUUUAGAUUUAUCAAUUAUGAAUUUUAUAAUAUGUUAUGAGUUCCAAAAAUGCAGAUUUUAGGAUCGUUUUUUACUUAUAAAUUCAUGAUAUUGUCUUUAAGUAGCCAAUUUGAGACUUAAAGUACAAAGUAGAGCAUCCUCAAAGGCUUCA